Peromyscus maniculatus bairdii (prairie deer mouse) is the source of this 1230-nucleotide non-coding RNA. The record is from RefSeq and is a predicted model, not a curated record. NCBI's taxonomy places the organism in Eukaryota, Metazoa, Chordata, Mammalia, Rodentia, Cricetidae.
AAAGCUAGGACUAGGCCUAUCCCCUGCCCCGCUUUCUAAAAGAGAGCAGUGGCGCGGGAGGUUGGGAACUACUUUGGACCAGCAACCUAGCGCGCACCGCCGAGUGCGAGGUCCAGAGCGCUGAGAUUGUCUUUAUCUCUGAACUCCAGGCGACCCCACUGAUUCCAGGGCACCUCUUCCCCGCCCAGCCUCCCUACCCUGGGGUCCCACGGGAUUCUCAGAGCAGGGCGCUAGGACCCAGCAGGGAGCGGAGGCGGCCGCUAACCCGGGAGCCCCGAGGACCUGGCCGGUCCCUCCGCUCCGGCUGGAAAACUUUCUUUUUAAUUACGUCUCCAGGCCAGAGCGUUCGGAUUGCUAGGCUUACAAGGCGGACUCUGCUGCCCUGUGUGGAGCCUCUGGUCAAGUGUUCGGCGUUUUUUUCCUCCUCGGGACUGGCGGGUGGGCACUAAUCUCUGUAGCCAGGGUGUCCAGUUCCUAGCUACGGAGUCUGAGCACCCACUGGGAGCACCCUGUCGGGUCCUCGAGAUCCUCGGCACCACGCCGCCUACAGGCUCGCAGCUGUGGGUAGGAGUUGCCUGCCCAGGCUCCCCAGCCACGUGGCGUCCAGCUCAUUCUUCACCUGGAUCGCGGCCGCCGAGGUCUGGGGCACAUAGGGCGGGGGCACGUGGAAGGCUUCAGGAGGAUGUGCUGAGCUCGGCUCUGGGUGUGCUGUCGCUGCUGAGAAGUAAGACCCUCAUGAAGUGUUCUUUGUCUUGUCGGCUUCUAGGAGCAUAUACACUGUUGAGGUCUGUUUCUCCGGAAAUUGUCACAUUGAGGAGCUCACUUUGGAUGAUGUGGAUGCCUGAUGAGGGUCUGUGACAAUGCAUGGUCAGUCUACAGAUGUCAAAGGCAGACUUCAAGAGUCACCAUGCCUGGAAUGGUCCUUACAGUUGAACGUCCAGUAGACUAGACAAAGCAAGUUGCGGGAUGGCAUGCUACUUCCACUCAGUUUAAAGACAUCUUUCUGCCAACCCCAAGAGUCAUGUGACCUCUAUUUCCUCCCUGAAGAAGAAGAAGAAGAAGAAGAAGAAGAAGAAGAAGAAGAAGAAGAAGAAGAAGAAGAAGAAGAAGAAGAAGAAGAAGAAGAAGAACUUAGUGGGAUUCACUUCCCUCUCUCUGUCCUCUCCUACCUCUCAAGCUUACAUCAUUUAAACUCGGCUUCCAAACUGUUUUACAAACCGCUAGCCUGUA